CGCAUCUGUGCAUGCAGCAUAUCAAUAAGCGGAGGAAAAGAAACUAACAAGGAUUCCCUUAGUAACGGCGAGCGAACCGGGAUAAGCCCACCAUGAGAAUCGGUCGCCCUCGGCGUUCGAAUUGUAGUCUGGAGAAGCGUCCUCAGCGGCGGACCGGGCCCAAGUCCCCUGGAAAGGGGCGCCGGAGAGGGUGAGAGCCCCGUUGUGCUCGGACCCUGUCGCACCACGAGGCGCUGUCGGCGAGUCGGGUUGUUUGGGAAUGCAGCCCCAAUCGGGCGGUAAAUUCCGUCCAAGGCUAAAUAUUGGCGAGAGACCGAUAGCGAACAAGUACCGUGAGGGAAAGAUGAAAAGGACUUUGAAAAGAGAGUUAAACAGUACGUGAAAUUGUCAAAAGGGAAGCGUUUGACACCAGUGUUGUUUUCUCGAAAAUCAAUUAAAAAGAGUUAGAUUUUGUUGUGUAUUGACCUUAACAGCUUGCAUUUCAAUUUUCUUGCUUUUUUUAAUGCACUUUUCGUUUAACAAGUCAACAUCAGUUUCUUUUGUUGUAAAAAGGUCAUUGGAAGGUGGCUUUCUUUUCGGAGAAAGUGUUUAUAGCCUUUGACUCCUGCAAUCGGAGAGACUGAGGUCUGCAGCGUAGAUCCUUCGGGGUUAGAUACAUUUGUGCUAAGUUAUAGCUUUUUAUAGACAACUUGUUGACUAUGAUUAGUCUUGUAGCUUACUCGCUUAUGCUAUUUUACCUACGCUUAGGAUGUUGAAGACUCUACAGAGAU
This 770-nucleotide ribosomal RNA is filed under the name uncultured Neocallimastigales. Its description in RNAcentral is "partial large subunit ribosomal RNA". It matches the Rfam family "Eukaryotic large subunit ribosomal RNA", at positions 26 to 626 of the family's 3401-position model. Lineage: Eukaryota; Fungi; Neocallimastigomycota; Neocallimastigomycetes; Neocallimastigales. The record is from RNAcentral.